GAUGAACGCUGGCGGCGUGCCUAAUACAUGCAAGUCGAGCGAACGGACGAGAAGCUUGCUUCUCUGAUGUUAGCGGCGGACGGGUGAGUAACACGUGGAUAACCUACCUAUAAGACUGGGAUAACUUCGGGAAACCGGAGCUAAUACCGGAUAAUAUUUUGAACCGCAUGGUUCAAAAGUGAAAGACGGUCUUGCUGUCACUUAUAGAUGGAUCCGCGCUGCAUUAGCUAGUUGGUAAGGUAACGGCUUACCAAGGCAACGAUGCAUAGCCGACCUGAGAGGGUGAUCGGCCACACUGGAACUGAGACACGGUCCAGACUCCUACGGGAGGCAGCAGUAGGGAAUCUUCCGCAAUGGGCGAAAGCCUGACGGAGCAACGCCGCGUGAGUGAUGAAGGUCUUCGGAUCGUAAAACUCUGUUAUUAGGGAAGAACAUAUGUGUAAGUAACUGUGCACAUCUUGACGGUACCUAAUCAGAAAGCCACGGCUAACUACGUGCCAGCAGCCGCGGUAAUACGUAGGUGGCAAGCGUUAUCCGGAAUUAUUGGGCGUAAAGCGCGCGUAGACGGUUUUUUAAGUCUGAUGUGAAAGCCCACGGCUCAACCGUGGAGGGUCAUUGGAAACUGGAAAACUUGAGUGCAGAAGAGGAAAGUGGAAUUCCAUGUGUAGCGGUGAAAUGCGCAGAGAUAUGGAGGAACACCAGUGGCGAAGGCGACUUUCUGGUCUGUAACUGACGCUGAUGUGCGAAAGCGUGGGGAUCAAACAGGAUUAGAUACCCUGGUAGUCCACGCCGUAAACGAUGAGUGCUAAGUGUUAGGGGGUUUCCGCCCCUUAGUGCUGCAGCUAACGCAUUAAGCACUCCGCCUGGGGAGUACGACCGCAAGGUUGAAACUCAAAGGAAUUGACGGGGACCCGCACAAGCGGUGGAGCAUGUGGUUUAAUUCGAAGCAACGCGAAGAACCUUACCAAAUCUUGACAUCCUUUGACAACUCUAGAGAUAGAGCCUUCCCCUUCGGGGGGGCAAAGUGACAGGUGGUGCAUGGUUGUCGUCAGCUCGUGUCGUGAGAUGUUGGGUUAAGUCCCGCAACGAGCGCAACCCUUAAGCUUAGUUGCCAUCAUUAAGUUGGGCACUCUAAGUUGACUGCCGGUGACAAACUGGAGGAAGGUGGGGAUGACGUCAAAUCAUCAUGCCCCCUAUGAUUUGGGCUACACACGUGCUACAAUGGACAAUACAAAGGGCAGCGAAACCGCGAGGUCAAGCAAAUCCCAUAAAGUUGUUCUCAGUUCGGAUUGUAGUCUGCAACUCGACUACAUGAAGCUGGAAUCGCUAGUAAUCGUAGAUCAGCAUGCUACGGUGAAUACGUUCCCGGGUCU
RNAcentral lists this ribosomal RNA (1373 nucleotides) under uncultured bacterium. RNAcentral's name for it is "bacterial SSU rRNA". It matches the Rfam family "Bacterial small subunit ribosomal RNA", at positions 28 to 1381 of the family's 1533-position model. The record is from RNAcentral.